UACGUAGGGUGCAAGCGUUGUCCGGAAUUAUUGGGCGUAAAGGGCUCGUAGGCGGCCAACUAAGUCGGACGUGAAAUCCCUCAGCUUAACUGGGGAACUGCGUCCGAUACUGGAUGGCUUGGAUUUGGGAGAGGGAUGCGGAAUUCCAGGUGUAGCGGUGAAAUGCGUAGAUAUCUGGAGGAACACCGGUGGCGAAGGCGGCAUCCUGGACCAAUAUUGACGCUGAGGAGCGAAAGCUAGGGGAGCAAACGGG
This 253-nucleotide ribosomal RNA is filed under the name uncultured bacterium. RNAcentral's name for it is "partial 16S ribosomal RNA". It matches the Rfam family "Bacterial small subunit ribosomal RNA", at positions 524 to 776 of the family's 1533-position model. The record is from RNAcentral.